UGGCGUCCUUCGCUCGCCGUGCUACGAGCAUCGCUCGGAUUCCAACUCAAGCUGCCUCUAUCGCUCAGCGCCGUGGUCUCUCCGGCGCCUCCGGUCAGCAUGGGCCUCCCAAGGUUAACUUCUGGCAAGAGCCCAUGAAGCCUGCUCAGUGGAAAGAGGGGCGCGUACGCAUCUCAUUCUCCUUGCACUUGUCGUGAGUUGUGGUGUGCAGCUUGUGCUUGUUUCUUUGACCAGUUGGGGCUUGCUCUUCUACGGUGGAUACAAGCUCCUCACCGGAGGCAAAGGCAAGGACGAGAUCAGGAUAGUAACGAUUUCUGUUAGGUUGUAAUUGCUAUUCAGGUUUUCAUUUCUGAUCUCACGGUAUAAUAUGUAUAGGUGAUGGCUCUUCUUUUCCUCUCCACAAGUCUUCUUUCAUCUCUGCUUAGCUCCAUCAUCAACCUUUUGGUUGUUUGGAACAAACAAUAUGCAUUGCUUUUUCGAGUUGUGAGCCCCCAACAGACAUGCUUAUAUGGAUUAA
Molecule: long non-coding RNA, 517 nt
Organism: Tarenaya hassleriana
Lineage: Eukaryota; Viridiplantae; Streptophyta; Magnoliopsida; Brassicales; Cleomaceae
Exons: 2
Source: RefSeq, a predicted model, not a curated record